RNAcentral lists this small nucleolar RNA (76 nucleotides) under Carlito syrichta (Philippine tarsier). RNAcentral describes it as "Small nucleolar RNA SNORD113/SNORD114 family (ENSTSYG00000022313.2)". It matches the Rfam family "Small nucleolar RNA SNORD113/SNORD114 family". Rfam says of the family: The imprinted human domain at 14q32 contains two clusters of tandemly repeated small nucleolar RNAs named 14q(I) and 14q(II) snoRNAs. The record is from Rfam by way of RNAcentral. Lineage: Eukaryota; Metazoa; Chordata; Mammalia; Primates; Tarsiidae.
CGAGCCAAUGUUGACAGCUGGUGGUAUAUGAGUCAUGAAUGAUGAAUACUAAUUAUCUGGAACUCUGAGACCUCAU